GGUAAUGAACCAGUUAUAUGUGAGUGACGUUAUCUAAAGGGAGUGGCCGUAUGAGAAAGUUUGUUCUUUCGUGCGUCACGUUUUACCUCCUCAGUGAACUUUUCAUAUAAUUUUUGGGGGACAUUAUCGGCCUACCCUGGGAGAGAACAUGGAGAGGUGGCGUUAAAGGACGAUAGUAGAAUCUGAGAACAUGGAGAUUAGAGGAACUCUAUCGAUCUGUCACUCUGUCGGCCUCUGUGAGCCGAAUUAUUGCCAGUUUGAUCAUUCAUAAUGAUGUUGAACGUGUUGAAGAGACGAAUUUAUUUACUGUAUGACUUUAAUUUCUGUGGAAUUAAUAUGUCGGAGUUUCGAGAAAGGUAUCUCGUCUAUCUGUUUCAUUUGUGGGAAUUUUUCAGUCCCCCGGAUCUUGUUCUGGACAGUCCGUUUUCUGUGUCGGGUUUCAAUGAACGAUUUUAGACUUCUAUUUGAUCAUCUUAAUCUAGCUGUUCUUGCGAUAGUUAGAAUUUUGCUUUUCUUUUAGGGAAUAAAUCUAUUUUUAUAA
Molecule: long non-coding RNA, 541 nt
Organism: Macrobrachium nipponense
Lineage: Eukaryota; Metazoa; Arthropoda; Malacostraca; Decapoda; Palaemonidae
Exons: 2
Source: RefSeq, a predicted model, not a curated record